Molecule: ribosomal RNA, 515 nt
Filed under: uncultured bacterium
Lineage: Bacteria
Description: partial 16S ribosomal RNA
Rfam family: Bacterial small subunit ribosomal RNA
Source: RNAcentral
GAUGAACGCUGGCGGCGUGCCUAAUACAUGCAAGUCGAGCGAAUGGAUUAAGAGCUUGCUCUUAUGAAGUUAGCGGCGGACGGGUGAGUAACAUGUGGGUAACCUGCCCAUAAGACUGGGAUAACUCCGGGAAACCGGGGCUAAUACCGGCUAACAUUUUGAACCGCAUGGUUCGAAAUUGAAAGGCGGCUUCGGCUGUCACUUAUGGAUGGACCCGCGUCGCAUUAGCUAGUUGGUGAGGUAACGGCUCACCAAGGCAACGAUGCGUAGCCGACCUGUGAGGGUGAUCGGCCACACUGGGACUGAGACACGGCCCAGACUCCUACGGGAGGCAGCAGUAGGGAAUCUUCCGCAAUGGACGAAAGUCUGACGGAGCAACGCCGCGUGAGUGAUGAAGGCUUUCGGGUCGUAAAACUCUGUUGUUAGGGAAGAACAAGUGCUAGUUGAAUAAGCUGGCACCUUGACGGUACCUAACCAGAAAGCCACGGCUAACUACGUGCCAGCCGCCGCAGUAA